RNAcentral lists this unclassified non-coding RNA (261 nucleotides) under uncultured Eurotiales. Its description in RNAcentral is "sequence contains 5.8S rRNA gene, ITS2, 28S rRNA gene". The stretch from base 1 to 52 matches the Rfam family "5.8S ribosomal RNA", at positions 103 to 154 of the family's 154-position model. Lineage: Eukaryota; Fungi; Ascomycota; Eurotiomycetes; Eurotiales. The record is from RNAcentral.
AACGCACAUUGCGCCCUCUGGUAUUCCGGAGGGCAUGCCUGUCCGAGCGUCAUUGCUGCCCUCAAGCACGGCUUGUGUGUUGGGCCCCGUCCCCCCCCUCCCGGGGGGACGGGCCCGAAAGGCAGCGGCGGCACCGCGUCCGGUCCUCGAGCGUAUGGGGCUUUGUCACCCGCUCUUGUAGGCCCGGCCGGCGCUUGCCGACCCCCUCAAUCUAUUUUUCAGGUUGACCUCGGAUCAGGUAGGGAUACCCGCUGAACUUAA